CCAGCAUACCCUACCCUCGAGUUAGUUCUUCGUCUUCCUUCCUGUUAGUCAUGGACUCAUGGGAAUGUUCGCCGCGAUUUUGAGUCUUCGUUUUGUGCAAAACUCAAAUUAGUUCUCAGAUCAAUCGGUGCUGCAAAUCUGAUAUUAACGGAACCCAAUUGGGGACAUCAAAAGUCAGGGAGGUAUUUUAAGCAGUUGUGGCGGAGCGAUGGGGUUUACACUAAACAAAUCUUCUGUUAAAUUGUUGAAGAUAUAAAGAAGCCAUUUUCAAUCCUUAAUGGUUUAGUGGAAUCAAAAACUCUUCUGGUUCUAUUCAAAUUCCGUUCUAUCGACUUUGGUCUUAUCUUCACUGCAAUCGUUGUUUGGUCAAUAAAUUUCAACGACCUCUCAAAAAUCACUGGAUAAAAUAAUAAAAGCUCAAAAGAUAUUUCACAGCAACAGAUCAUGGAGAGACACAGAGAACUAUGUAGAGUUUAACUAGAAGUUUAGAGCCUGUUUGGUACAAUUUUUAAAAACAGUUUUCAAAAAUAGUUUUCUACUAUUUUGAAAACAUACCCUUUUUUUCCUUGUUUUCAUUUUCUAAAUUUUUUUUGGUAAGAUAAAAACAGUUUUUGAAAAUUAAGGAAAAUCGACUAAAUCAGAUCAAAUGUAAAGACUCGUCUAAGAGAUAGUGAUAUUGGCCAUGAUUCACUGACAUGCAUUCCCCUGAUCUCUUACUUUGUUCUGAAAAGAAGAAGAAGGAAUAAAAAUAAAAAAGAGAAAACGCAGAAAACAAUAAUUUGUUGUUUUCAUUUUUUUUGUUUUCAAAAACAGAAAACAAGUAGAAAACAUUUUCUGAAAAUGUCCCUACCAAACAUGUUUUCUCCUGUUUUCUGUUUUCUCUGUUUUUAGAAACAGAAAACUGUUUUCAAAAACUAUACCAAACAAGCUCUUAUAUUUUCGUGAUAGAAGCAACCACAAAUUAGGUUCACUUCUUUUAUAGCUUGAAGUCAUUCAUGCAUGUCUUUUAAUUUCAAUUUCAGCAGUUUGUUCUUCAACUCAUGUCCUUUUCUAUACUGCUCAUGUUUCUGAGUUCUUAAUGAUUCGGUUGCAAUCCAACCCUUUCAGAAUGUUUGAAAACGUAACAAAGUUUCUUAGCUCCAUACCGGAUCACUUUGCACGACUGAAUACCAUGUUCCCUUUGUAACUUUCGAUUUACAUCUUUUUAACACGUGAUUUCCAUCAAAUUUAGUUGUUUCGUUUCUUACAUUACCAGUGUGCACGCUCAUUUUCGGGUCGGUGUUACGACGUUGCUGUUGGAGUUCUAAGCAGUAUUAGUGUGUUUAUAAGCUUUUGGUGUUUUUAUGUAAGAUGUUGAAAUCGAAGCAGUUGAUUCAGUGGGAAGAAGGGAAACAUAGAUAAAUAGUAAGUCACUCUUUAUCCCUUCCAUAUCCCAUUACAAUUUAAUUAACCAGUUUUAUCGGAAAAUCCAUUGGUUCCGUCCCACUUCCAUGCUGAAAAUUUACCUUCAUGGUUUAGUAUUUUGUUUGUUGGGUAUUAUAUAUGAAAUUCCUGCUUUCCACAAGGUCUGAAAGACUUCUUGGGUGUAUUUCGGGGAAAAACAUUGUUGAUCACACUCGAUUGAGUCUUGAAAAAUUGUGGUAGCCAUUUGUGAUUCGGUUCAUCGUCUUGACCCUUUCUUCCUGAUGUGCAGCUCAUCUUACGGUUAACCAGACAUCGGUUUUCUCCUUCCCUGUGUCGCAAGUUACGUCGCACCCUCAUUACAUGUACCCUAUGUAGUUUUAUAUUCUCUUUCACAUCAAAUUCGUUGGUUUUUGUUUUCGUUAUUUUCUCAUCAGCUCCCUAAUGAUGGGUUCUGUUCUCUGCAAAAUUUAGUGCACGCCCACUUUAAGAAGACCCAUUCUAGUUUCCGUUCAAUCAGAUUCAUAACUAAUAAUCCUCAGUAAAGUGUCCGGUAGCUCCUACUGUCCAUUUCUUGCUCUUUGUGAAGUGUAAAUUCUUAAUUUUAGUUGGUACGUCACAACCAUAUAUUCCAUCUUUUUCUUUGGCUUCAAAUGUUUGUGCCUUCUUAAGUGACCCCUUUUAUUGAGAAGUUGUUGUUUCCACUGACUUUUUGAGAGAGAUCCUGGGGAAAAUUGAUGCAUACUACUGACAUUGAUAUGUGGAGAAAGACUUUGUCAGAUUGAUUUAUUUCUUUGAUGUCUGAAAGACGAGCAAUCUGUGAUUCUCAUAGUAUGCAGUGACCAUCAACAGAGAGAGAUAAGAAAAGGGUUUAGGCAUGGUUUCUCAAAUAUAACUUGCGGGAAAGAAUUUGCACAUUGCUAUGACAUUUCUUUGAGGCGUGAGCUGUUAUCACAUCAUUAUAAGCGGACCUUAUUAUCGCUGCAUCAUUAUAUCCAUGAAUUUCUGUGAGCACUUUUAGUUUAUCUUUACCACAUAAAAUAUAUUCCACCCCUCUAAAUUUAAGAGUUAAAUUUUUUUGUAGUUCUGUUCUUUUUUCAUCAUCCAGGUAACAUCUUGAUGAGAGUUAAAUUAAAAAUACGUUGUGGUGUUGAGAAAGUUCAAAUGAAAAUCAUUAGCAUUUGACAUCCCCGUCGUUGCAAGAAGGUUUUCCUCCCUGUCAACUUCAUAAGGUAUUCUUGAAUGUUUGCUUUUCACUUCUUUGGUCUAUUGUGCUUUGUUCUUUAUUGUGCUUUGUUCUCAUGUACCAUUCCUUAUUGGCCGGGUAUUUUCUACAUUAGGAAUGAAACUGACAUUCCCAAAGUUACAAGCCAACAAAUCAUAUUUGCAAGUUAAUAUCCCAUGUACGCUGAGGCAUUCUCAAUCCAACAGAAAUAUUCAACCGCACAAGUGAGAAGCCAAAGCUCAGGCAUUCGAACAUCAAACUACUUUGAUGUUUUUCAAGUUUUCUUCUGUCGACUACGAAAGCUUGGAAUAAAAAAAUGAGUAACAACUAAUAGGUUUCCGCCUAAGCUACUUAUGGUUCACAAAUGUCUUGCAAUUAUAUCGACACUGGACCAUUUGUAUCGGUGUGAUAGAUUUUAAGAUGGCUGAAACCUAUCCUUGAAAACCAUAGCAUCCAGUGGUGUGUAUGCCGAAACUGACAGUCGAGAAUCCUUGAUACAACCACCAAAGUAGUGCUGGCAUUUAUUUCCAUCAAGUUAAUCAUGUUUAUUUUAUUUUUGGGAAGGAUCACCAUGUGAAACCAAACAGUUGGGUGAUUGAGAAUGAAAACUAAUCUUCCGUUGUAAUUUUAACUUCCCUUCUUUACAUUCACUUUGUCUUCAUAAGAUUUUACUACUACAUACGGUCGAUAAACUAAUCAGGUGGACCAGGUAGAAGGUAACUUUGGCCUUGGCGUGUUGCAUAAAAAUAUGCUGCUGGAUCAAGCUGGAGAAAUGGUAGUGGAGUCGUUACACAGAUCGAUUUGGAGUAAGUGGUUGCUUCCUAAAGUAUCUUUUAUAGCAUGUUCAGUUUAUCGACGCUUCAGCAUAUUUAAUCUAUGAUUCCUAUGUAAGUGAAAUACAUUGUCAGCUUGCUUCGAUUGUUUGGAAUUUUUUCAUUUAGUCCUUGCCGUUAAACUGGGUGCUGCCGAGGGAUGUUCAAACUCAGUUGGAAGGCUGGAGCUACAUUAAUUUCCAAAAUGGCGGAACUAUUGGUUCAAAGGUUCCGCGUGCAAUAAUUUGGGAGCUAUGGAAAGAACCCAAGGACCCAGUGCUAGAUUUCGUUGGCAGGGGAAGCAAGAAAAAGGAUUGCGAAUACAACCGUUUCUUAUGCUCUGUUGCUCUGAUGAACACUUAUACAGGGAUACUCAUUUCCGUAGAAAAAAAAAUCUGUAAGAAACUGUGAUGAUGUAAUCUUUUAUAUUGUAACUGAAGAGUGCAUAUAUUACUUUAUGGAAAUUACAUCCAAAAUCACUAUACCAA
Papaver somniferum (opium poppy) is the source of this 3926-nucleotide long non-coding RNA. RefSeq lists it as uncharacterized. Lineage: Eukaryota; Viridiplantae; Streptophyta; Magnoliopsida; Ranunculales; Papaveraceae. The record is from RefSeq and is a predicted model, not a curated record. The transcript has 4 exons.